Xylaria palmicola is the source of this 124-nucleotide non-coding RNA. Lineage: Eukaryota; Fungi; Ascomycota; Sordariomycetes; Xylariales; Xylariaceae. The record is from the annotation of a GenBank genome assembly.
UCUCGAUUGGUCUAGUGGUAAGGAUACCUGCUUGUCAUCGAAAAUGAGCUAAACCACGAUAGUGGGAUUUAGCAAUCGUUCAAAUGAGCCGCAGGUGGCCGGGGUUCGAUUCCCCGAUCGAGAG